Molecule: long non-coding RNA, 415 nt
Filed under: Salmo salar (Atlantic salmon)
Lineage: Eukaryota; Metazoa; Chordata; Actinopteri; Salmoniformes; Salmonidae
Description: lncRNA (ENSSSAG00000100421.1)
Source: RNAcentral
GUUCAGUAGAGGAAGCAGGCACACAGCACAGGGAAACUGAGUCGUACAGCUCAGAGGCACAGGCGUAGUAUGGGAGCGGCAUCAGGUUCAGUAGAGGAAGCAGGCACACAGCACAGGGAAACUGAGUCGUACAGCUCAGAGGCACAGGCGUAGUAUGGGAGCGGCAUCAGGUUCAGUAGAGGAAGCAGGCACACAGCACAGGGAAACUGAGUCGUACAGCUCAGAGUCACAGGCGUAGUAUGGGAGCGGCAUCAGGUUCAGUAGAGGAAGCAGGCACACAGCACAGGGAAACUGAGUCGUACAGCUCAGAGUCACAGGCGUAGUAUGGGAGCGGCAUCAGGUUCAGUAGAGGAAGCAGGCACACAGCACAGGGAAACUGAGUCGUACAGCUCAGAGUCACAGGCAUAGUAUGGGA